RNAcentral lists this ribosomal RNA (481 nucleotides) under uncultured bacterium. RNAcentral's name for it is "partial 16S ribosomal RNA". It matches the Rfam family "Bacterial small subunit ribosomal RNA", at positions 28 to 523 of the family's 1533-position model. The record is from RNAcentral.
GACGAACGCUGGCGGCGUGCUUAACACAUGCAAGUCGAACGCUGAAGCCCUUCGGGGUGGAUGAGUGGCGAACGGGUGAGUAACACGUGGGUAAUCUGCCCUGCACUCUGGGAUAAGCCCUGGAAACGGGGCCUAAUACCGGAUAGGACACAUCGCCGCAUGGUGGGUGUGUGGAAAGUUCCGGCGGUGCAGGUUGAGCCCGCGGCCUAUCAGCUUGUUGGUGGGGUGAUGGCCUACCAAGGCGACGACGGGUAGCCGGCCUGAGAGGGUGACCGGCCACACUGGGACUGAGACACGGCCCAGACUCCUACGGGAGGCAGCAGUGGGGAAUCUUGCGCAAUGGGCGAAAGCCUGACGCAGCAACGCCGCGUGGGGGAUGACGGCCUUCGGGUUGUAAACCUCUUUCGACCGGGACGAAGGAUUCGUUUGACGGUACCGGUAGAAGAAGCACCGGCUAACUACGUGCCAGCCGCCGCCGUAA